UGCUGCCUUUCUGGAAGU
RNAcentral lists this microRNA (18 nucleotides) under Equus caballus (horse). RNAcentral describes it as "eca-miR-9007". The record is from miRBase by way of RNAcentral. Lineage: Eukaryota; Metazoa; Chordata; Mammalia; Perissodactyla; Equidae.